Molecule: transfer RNA, 99 nt
Filed under: Nitrospira sp.
Lineage: Bacteria; Pseudomonadati; Nitrospirota; Nitrospiria; Nitrospirales; Nitrospiraceae
Description: tRNA-Ala
Rfam family: tRNA
About the family: Transfer RNA (tRNA) molecules are approximately 80 nucleotides in length. Their secondary structure includes four short double-helical elements and three loops (D, anti-codon, and T loops). Further hydrogen bonds mediate the characteristic L-shaped molecular structure. tRNAs have two regions of fundamental functional importance: the anti-codon, which is responsible for specific mRNA codon recognition, and the 3' end, to which the tRNAs corresponding amino acid is attached (by aminoacyl-tRNA synthetases). tRNAs cope with the degeneracy of the genetic code in two manners: having more than one tRNA (with a specific anti-codon) for a particular amino acid; and 'wobble' base-pairing, i.e. permitting non-standard base-pairing at the 3rd anti-codon position.
Source: RNAcentral
GGCGCUGUGACUGACCGGCAAGGUGUGGGGUUGGCAACCCCUAGCCAUCAGAGGACAAGCCCCUCUGGUGAACGGGUUCGAUUCCCGUCAGCGCCUCCA